GUGCUCGCUUCUGCAGCACAUAUACUAAGAUUGGAAUGAUACAGAGAAGAUUAACAUGGCCCCUGCACAAGCAUGACACCCAAAUUUGUGAAGCAUUCCAUGUGUUU
Small nuclear RNA from Rattus rattus (black rat), 107 nucleotides. NCBI's taxonomy places the organism in Eukaryota, Metazoa, Chordata, Mammalia, Rodentia, Muridae. The record is from RefSeq and is a predicted model, not a curated record.